AGUGAACGCUGGCGGUAGGCCUAACACAUGCAAGUCGAACGGCAGCACAGUAAGAGCUUGCUCUUACGGGUGGCGAGUGGCGGACGGGUGAGGAAUACAUCGGAAUCUACUUUUUCGUGGGGGAUAACGUAGGGAAACUUACGCUAAUACCGCAUACGACCUACGGGUGAAAGCAGGGGAUCUUCGGACCUUGCGCGAUUGAAUGAGCCGAUGUCGGAUUAGCUAGUUGGCGGGGUAAAGGCCCACCAAGGCGACGAUCCGUAGCUGGUCUGAGAGGAUGAUCAGCCACACUGGAACUGAGACACGGUCCAGACUCCUACGGGAGGCAGCAGUGGGGAAUAUUGGACAAUGGGCGCAAGCCUGAUCCAGCCAUACUGCGUGGGUGAAGAAGGCCUUCGGGUUGUAAAGCCCUUUUGUUGGGAAGGAAAAGCAGCAGGUUAAUACCCCGCUGUUCUGACGGUACCCAAAGAAUAAGCACCGGCUAACUUCGUG
This 492-nucleotide ribosomal RNA is filed under the name uncultured bacterium. RNAcentral describes it as "partial 16S ribosomal RNA". It matches the Rfam family "Bacterial small subunit ribosomal RNA", at positions 29 to 507 of the family's 1533-position model. The record is from RNAcentral.